UGGGAAACCACAACAGCUAUUGCCAAUUACAGCGGCCCCAAUAGUUAUACAGAAACAAUUUACAAGGUAUACUAAACACACACAACAGACAAUACUUGAACAACAGUCAUUACAUUUGUCUAAAAGCAGCAUGUCAAUGGAGAGUUCAUUAAACUUCGAGCGGAAUUACAUUUUAUACACACACUUUUCCAUGUCCGGGGAUCCUCAACAUCGUAUGUAUUUUCUAAUGCUAAAAUAUAGUACUUAAAAAGAAGAUUCUUGAAUUCUGAAAAUGUUAGGUCUUUGGAUGUAAUAUAAUUGGGUAGUGUGUUCCAUAUUCUUGAUGUUCGGAUUUUGUAAGAUUUUUCAUAGGUUGACGUCUUGUAUGUCGGAAUUUUAUAUUUGUGCGAGUUGGGAUUAAAUGAUCUUGUCUGUCUUUGACCCUGAGGUUGAGGAAAUGGAAGAAUUUUUUUAUCAAUAUUAAAAAUGUCGUGAUUUGCCUUAUAGAAGAAUACUAGAUCCAGGUAUUCGUGCCAGUAGCUGAGAGG
Molecule: long non-coding RNA, 527 nt
Filed under: Paramuricea clavata
Lineage: Eukaryota; Metazoa; Cnidaria; Anthozoa; Malacalcyonacea; Plexauridae
Source: RNAcentral